Molecule: ribosomal RNA, 966 nt
Filed under: bacterium enrichment culture clone aHCH4_G8
Lineage: Bacteria
Description: bacterial SSU rRNA
Rfam family: Bacterial small subunit ribosomal RNA
Source: RNAcentral
GCUACACAUGCAGUCGAACGGAGAAUCAGCAAUGGUUCUUAGUGGCGAACGGGUGAGUAACGCGUAGACAACCUGCCUCAAAGAUGGGGACAACACCGCGAAAGUGGUGCUAAUACCGAAUGUUGCAUUGGAUUCGCAUGAAUCUGAUACUAAAGGUGGCCUCUUUAAAUGCUACCGCUUUGAGAUGGGUCUGCGUCUGAUUAGCUAGUUGGUGAGGUAACAGCUCACCAAGGCGAUGAUCAGUAGCCGGUCUGAGAGGAUGAACGGCCACACUGGGACUGAGACACGGCCCAGACUCCUACGGGAGGCAGCAGUGGGGAAUCUUCCGCAAUGGACGAAAGUCUGACGGAGCAACGCCGCGUGAGUGAAGAAGGUUUUCGGAUCGUAAAGCUCUGUCUUUGAGGACGAAUGUGCUUAAUGUAAAUAAUGUUAAGUAAUGACGGUACUCGAGGAGGAAGCCACGGCUAACUACGUGCCAGCAGCCGCGGUAAUACGUAGGUGGCAAGCGUUGUCCGGAAUUAUUGGGCGUAAAGCGCGCGCAGGCGGGAUAUUAAGUCUGUCUUAAAAGUUCGGGGCUCAACCCCGUGAUGGGAUGGAAACUAAUAUUCUUGAGUGCAGGAGAGGAAAGUGGAAUUCCCAGUGUAGCGGUGAAAUGCGUAGAUAUUGGGAGGAACACCAGUGGCGAAGGCGACUUUCUGGACUGUGUCUGACGCUGAGGCGCGAAAGCCAGGGGAGUGAACGGGAUUAGAUACCCCGGUAAUCCUGGCCGUAAACGAUGGGUACUAGGUGUGGGAGGUAUCGACCCCUUCUGUGCCGGAGUUAACGCAAUAAGUACCCCGCCUGGGAGUACGGCCGCAAGGUUGAAACUCAAAGGAUUGACGGGGGCCCGCACAAGCGGUGGAGUAUGUGGUUUAAUUCGACGCAACGCGAAAAACCUUACCAGGACUUGGACAUCGAUUGAAAGUU